This 370-nucleotide ribosomal RNA is filed under the name uncultured bacterium. RNAcentral describes it as "bacterial SSU rRNA". It matches the Rfam family "Bacterial small subunit ribosomal RNA", at positions 525 to 896 of the family's 1533-position model. The record is from RNAcentral.
ACGGAGGGUGCAAGCGUUAUCCGGAUUCACUGGGUUUAAAGGGUGCGUAGGUGGGCAGAUAAGUCAGUGGUGAAAUCUCUGGGCUUAACCCGGAAACUGCCAUUGAUACUAUUUGUCUUGAAUUCUCUGGAGGUAAGCGGAAUAUGUCAUGUAGCGGUGAAAUGCUUAGAUAUGACAUAGAACACCCAUUGCGAAGGCAGCUUACUACGGAGAUAUUGACACUGAGGCACGAAAGCGUGGGGAUCAAACAGGAUUAGAUACCCUGGUAGUCCACGCCCUAAACGAUGAUUACUCGACAUUAGCGAUACUACUGUUAGUGUCUAAGCGAAAGCAUUAAGUAAUCCACCUGGGAAGUACGACCGCAAGGUUG